RNAcentral lists this ribosomal RNA (500 nucleotides) under uncultured bacterium. Its description in RNAcentral is "partial 16S ribosomal RNA". It matches the Rfam family "Bacterial small subunit ribosomal RNA", at positions 30 to 523 of the family's 1533-position model. The record is from RNAcentral.
AUUGAACGCUGGCGGCAUGCCUUACACAUGCAAGUCGAACGGUAACGGGUCCUUCGGGAUGCCGACGAGUGGCGAACGGGUGAGUAAUAUAUCGGAACGUGCCCAGUAGUGGGGGAUAACUGCUCGAAAGAGCAGCUAAUACCGCAUACGACCUGAGGGUGAAAGGGGGGGAUCGCAAGACCUCUCGCUAUUGGAGCGGCCGAUAUCAGAUUAGCUAGUUGGUGGGGUAAAGGCCUACCAAGGCAACGAUCUGUAGUUGGUCUGAGAGGACGACCAGCCACACUGGGACUGAGACACGGCCCAGACUCCUACAGGAGGCAGCAGUGGGGAAUUUUGGACAAUGGGCGCAAGCCUGAUCCAGCAAUGCCGCGUGCAGGAAGAAGGCCUUCGGGUUGUAAACUGCUUUUGUCAGGGAAGAAAUCUUCUGGGCUAAUACCCCGGGAGGAUGACGGUACCUGAAGAAUAAGCACCGGCUAACUACGUGCCAGCAGCCGCAGUAA